Lemur catta (Ring-tailed lemur) is the source of this 291-nucleotide long non-coding RNA. RefSeq lists it as uncharacterized. The transcript has 2 exons. The record is from RefSeq and is a predicted model, not a curated record. NCBI's taxonomy places the organism in Eukaryota, Metazoa, Chordata, Mammalia, Primates, Lemuridae.
GAGACUACCUUGGAGCAUUUGGUAUGAGAAGGGCAGCGUGAGAGAGGAUCACAUGCCACCUCCCUGCACAGAAGGCUGAGUAUUAUUUGAGGGAAACCCAGCCUUUGGUUAGGCAAAAGUGGUUAAGAAGCAUGUGAACCUUUCCCACUAUGGACUAUGGAAGGGAAAUGGCUGUAAAUGAAGGACUUUAAGACCCUAGAGGAGGAAGAGCCACUGGAUGAAGGAGGCUGAGUCCUGCUGAAUAUGCACCUGGACUUUAUAUGAAUGAGAAAUAAAGUUUCAUUUUUUUAA